RNAcentral lists this ribosomal RNA (508 nucleotides) under uncultured bacterium. Its description in RNAcentral is "bacterial SSU rRNA". It matches the Rfam family "Bacterial small subunit ribosomal RNA", at positions 285 to 787 of the family's 1533-position model. The record is from RNAcentral.
AGCUGGUCUGAGAGGACGAUCAGCCACACUGGGACUGAGACACGGCCCAGACUCCUACGGGAGGCAGCAGUGGGGAAUAUUGGACAAUGGGCGCAAGCCUGAUCCAGCAAUACCGCGUGUGUGAAGAAGGCCCUAGGGUUGUAAAGCACUUUCAAUGGGGAGGAAAACCUGCCGGUCAAUACCCGGUAGCUUGACAUUACCUAUAGAAGAAGCACCGGCUAACUCCGUGCCAGCAGCCGCGGUAAUACGGAGGGUGCGAGCGUUAAUCGGAAUUACUGGGCGUAAAGCGUGCGUAGGUGGCUCGUUAAGUCAGAUGUGAAAGCCCUGGGCUCAACCUGGGAACUGCAUUUGAAACUGGUGAGCUAGAGUUGAGUAGAGGGAGUGGAAUUUCAGGUGUAGCGGUGAAAUGCGUAGAUAUCUGAAGGAACACCAGUGGCGAAGGCGGCGUCCUGGACUCAAACUGACGCUGAGGUACGAAAGCGUGGGUAGCAAACAGGAUUAGAUACCU